This 253-nucleotide ribosomal RNA is filed under the name uncultured bacterium. RNAcentral's name for it is "partial 16S ribosomal RNA". It matches the Rfam family "Bacterial small subunit ribosomal RNA", at positions 524 to 776 of the family's 1533-position model. The record is from RNAcentral.
UACGUAGGGUGCAAGCGUUAAUCGGAAUUACUGGGCGUAAAGCGUGCGCAGGCGGUUGUGCAAGACAGAUGUGAAAUCCCCGGGCUUAACCUGGGAAUUGCAUUUGUGACUGCACGGCUAGAGUGUGUCAGAGGGGGGUAGAAUUCCACGUGUAGCAGUGAAAUGCGUAGAGAUGUGGAAGAACACCGAUGGCGAAGGCAGCCCCCUGGGAUAACACUGACGCUCAGGCUCGAAAGCGUGGGGAGCAAACAGG